AUGCCUUCACCAUGGCAGAGGAGCCGGUUCCGCCCGGUCCUGCGACCCGCCCUCCACCACCCCACCAUAUCGUCGCCACCGCACCGCCCACUGCCUCAUUGCAUGCCUCGCCGGAGCAAAACAACGGGCUCGCCAGCCCCUUCGCAGCCCCAUCGGAGCGUGGAGAUGCCUCUUCCGUUCGUAUACCAGGCUUUCCCGAAGCUGCUGCAGCUGAUUGGAUAUGUCUCGUCGGAGGUCCUAGAGGCUACGAGAGCGCGGCGGUGGCGGGAGUGGGCGGAGCGAAUCCGUGAGGACUCCCUAUCGUGGUCGCAGUGCGUGAGGGAGUGGAAGGGAGUAGAGCGGGAGAUGCAAGAGGACAUGAGAUCGCGUUUCCGAUGGGAGGGCAUCGCUCAAAUUUGCAAUGACCAAUCGGAUCAGGAACUGUAUAAUUUGGCUCGGAGGAUCUGCUUCGAGAGAUCAGAGGAUGAGGGAGCUGGAUGCUGUCCCCAACUGCGACACCGGUGGAAUUCGUUAACUGGGCGAGGCAGGAGGUGA
This 534-nucleotide ribosomal RNA is filed under the name Triticum aestivum (bread wheat). Its description in RNAcentral is "partial small subunit ribosomal RNA". Lineage: Eukaryota; Viridiplantae; Streptophyta; Magnoliopsida; Poales; Poaceae. The record is from RNAcentral.